AAAAAAACCCCCAAAAAAACCAGAGGGCAAACGAAAGAAUCUCGCACGGCGGGAGAGCGACGCCGGCUCACGGGUGGUCCGAAUGUUGCGAUAAUCCGCGAGGUUAUCCUCAAAAACAACGUUCUACGUGCCAGCAGCCGCCAUGUUGGAAAAAGCAAGUAGAUGCAGCCGUGUUUCCGGUCCGCACUUACGACGAGUUUCCGCCGAAACAACAUCCACCAAACGAGAACCGCAGUUUUCAUAUCUGUCGAAUGUGCUGGAAUGAAUCGACCUAACGGAACAGCGAGACACGGUAACAGUGCAUGAUAGGCUGCAUUACACCUCAUGGUGAGUUUUAUACGUAGCUGCUAUUAUCUUGUAAGCAAACGUUUAAAAAAAAUACAUAAUUAAAUUAAAUUAAAUAUUUUAAUGAUUAAACGAUUUAAAAUACAGCAUAUUUAGCAGUGACCUUUUCACAAAUUAACAGCUGUGAAAGUUGUGAGAGGAUGUCACAUGAGAGGUGGUUUGUUGUCAAUAAAUUCAUAAAUGAGUGAGCUUUUGGAAAUUCAAACCUUGAAAUAUGCAUAUUAAAGCAAAAUGCUCACUGAUAAGGAUGCUUAGGGAUUUGCUAAGGCCUUUUUCAUAAACCAACACUUUUGACAGUUGUGAGAGGAUGUCCCAGACACAUGAGAGGUGGUUUGAUGUAAAUUUUUCAUGAAUGAGUUAGCUAUUGAAAAUGCAAACCUUGAAAUAUGAGAGGACAAAAAAUGCAAAUUGUUUUCCCGGCACAAACAUAGAAACGACAGCUAGCAGGCCGUGAGGAAAACAUUUGCUGAAUAUUACAAAAAGUGUAUUGGAUUAAGAUCGUUUACUGUCCCUUUAAAAAGUCACAGGAAGAAGACCUGAUGAGGGUCAAAGUAUAAUUUGGUAUCAGACUGCCUCGCCAUAUGCAAAGCUUGUAAUUCAGGGUAGAGAUUGUUUUCUUUCACUGCUCUUCUGUACUAAACUGAGCAAUAUAGGGUUAAAUAUAUAAUAUCCAAUAUGUUUUCAUUAGAUUAGAUCCAGUAUUUUUGGAGGAUAAAUCAGUUUCAGUGUGAUACAGGCAUAUUAGGGCACAUUAAAAGACAAUAAACCACUGCCAUAUGCACCACUGAACAGUUUUAAAUGGAGUGAAUGGACUGCAUUCUGUAAAAAUUCCAUAAAAAAAGAACUAGAAAGAAAGAAUGU
Molecule: long non-coding RNA, 1206 nt
Filed under: Scophthalmus maximus (turbot)
Lineage: Eukaryota; Metazoa; Chordata; Actinopteri; Pleuronectiformes; Scophthalmidae
Description: lncRNA (ENSSMAG00000030951.1)
Source: RNAcentral